Molecule: RNA transcript, 1973 nt
Organism: Boleophthalmus pectinirostris (great blue-spotted mudskipper)
Lineage: Eukaryota; Metazoa; Chordata; Actinopteri; Gobiiformes; Gobiidae
Gene: adprs
Gene name: ADP-ribosylserine hydrolase
Exons: 7
Source: RefSeq, a predicted model, not a curated record
AACUGGAGUUGCGGUGUUGUGGUCUGGAGCGGUGUCAAACCUGUGCUACAACAAGCAACAGAACCUCGACUUUGUCGUUUUCGUGCUGUUUUAGCUAGAAGAGUAAUUGUCGGUGUAUGCUCUGGACUCCUAUGAAUGGCUGUUACCGCAGCUAGAGUGAUGGCAGCGGGCGGCCCGGCGUCUUUGUCCCGGUUCAGAGGCGCACUGGUGGCCGGGGUCUUGGGGGACUGUAUCGGCGGGGAGUUCGAGGGCGCAGAGGAGGUGCCCAUGGAAAGCGUAUUGGCGCACCUGAGCGGACUGGAUGACGAGACGAGAGGGAAUGGAGUCCUUGAAUACAGUGACGACACGGCCAUGGCGCGCUGUGUGGUUCAGUCUCUUCUGACGAGAACUGGGUUUGAUGAACAGGAUAUGGCACGCAGGUUUGCCAAGGAGUACAGUGCCUCCCCAGGUCGUGGAUAUGGUUCUGGGGUCAUUCAGGUGUUAAAGAAGCUGUCCUGCCCACGGCUCAGUGAUGUGUUCCAGCCAGCGAGGGACCAGUUCAACGGCCGGGGCUCUUUUGGAAAUGGGGGUGCAAUGAGAGCUGCACCCUUUGCACUGGCUUUUCCCAAUGCGACUGAUAUAAAAAGGUGUGCCCGGUUGGGUGCCAUGCUGACGCACUCUUGCUCUUUGGGUUACAAUGGUGCAAUCCUGCAAGCACUUGCUGUCCACUUCUCUCUGCAAGGAGCGUUAGAGGCACCUCAACAGUUCAUUAAUAGUCUGAUCACAGAGAUGGAAGAAGUGGAGGAUACUGAUGUGACACGCAAGGAUGCCAGAAUUUUGAAGGAAGCCGAGAAGCCAUUUUGUGAAAGACUUCAUAGAGUAAAGGAGCUGAUGGAAAGGAGCAAUGUCAGCAUCGAGGAAGUCAUUUCAGAACUGGGUAAUGGCAUUGCAGCACUCCACUCUGUCCCCACUGCCAUCUUCUGUGUCCUUCACUGUCUUAAACCCCUGGAAUGCUUACCACAGAACUACGGAGGCCUGGAGAGGACAAUUGCCUACAGCCUUGCACUAGGAGGGGAUACGGACACUAUUGCUUGCAUGGCAGGUGCUAUCGCUGGAGCUCACUAUGGCAUCGAGUCUAUCCCACCCUCAUGGAUCAAAUGCUGUGAGGGAGCAGAGGAUGCAGACAGAGACGCAGAAAGACUACACACCUUGUAUCACCAGAUGUCACUGGACAAUGCGAGCAGCACAGGGGAGAAGAGUGCUGAAGAUGGAUCCAAAAAUGGUACAGCGAGCAAGACAGGAAGUGAAUAAAUGUGGGAAAAUAACGGACAUAUACUGAGAACAUCUAGGUUUGAUUGGCCUUAGCAGACAUUGAAGAUACUACUUACAAAAUCUUAAUUGAUAUUGGCAAUCAACUGGACAAGACGAGUAGUAUGACUGUGAGCGUAAUGUACAAAGUAUGACAAUGAACUUCCAUCUGUCUAUGGAGAGAAGCAAAUGGCUCUUCAAAGGCAAGCUACUGUUCAGAUCUGUGAAGAGGACACCCUGCUCACAGUGAGAAUGCAUGUUUUUCAAGGUAUUUAUUUAGCAAUGGAACAUAUUGAAUAGAUUAGCUUUAUGCCAUACUGUGGAACAUUUCAGGCAAAGCAAUAACAUUUUCAUGGAUACAAGCAGGUGGCAGAUCCCUUAAAAGAAAAAUUUCAUAGUGCACCUUUAUAUACUAACUUUAUAUGGUCUGGGAAGAUCUGGUUUCUUAAUUCUGAGAUAGAUUACUCCUGACACUGUUAUGCCAAUAAAGAACCAGGCCGCGAAGCUUGAAAAAGAGAAAAUUUGAGAUUUUUUUUAAACACUGUAAAUACAUAAGAUAAUAUAAUGAUAGAUAAUACUUUAAAGCUCACCUUGCAUAGUUCACAAUAGUUUCAAAAUCCCCAGACAUGAGAACCACCAAGGCAAUGGCGGCAGUGAAGAUGAGGGAUGGAGAAGGGGUAAGUCUA